RNAcentral lists this ribosomal RNA (253 nucleotides) under uncultured bacterium. RNAcentral describes it as "partial 16S ribosomal RNA". It matches the Rfam family "Bacterial small subunit ribosomal RNA", at positions 524 to 776 of the family's 1533-position model. The record is from RNAcentral.
UACGUAGGAUCCAAGCGUUGUCCGGAUUUACUGGGUGUAAAGCGUGCGCAGGCGGUCUGUUAAGUCAGCUGUGAAAUCCCCGGGCUCAACCUGGGAAUGGCAGUUGAGACUGGCAGGCUGGAGUGUGUCAGAGGGGGGUAGAAUUCCACGUGUAGCAGUGAAAUGCGUAGAGAUGUGGAGGAAUACCGAUGGCGAAGGCAGCCCCCUGGGCCAACACUGACGCUCAUGCACGAAAGCGUGGGGAGCAAACAGG